Molecule: non-coding RNA, 209 nt
Organism: Streptomyces sp. WAC00263
Lineage: Bacteria; Bacillati; Actinomycetota; Actinomycetes; Kitasatosporales; Streptomycetaceae
Source: Rfam
CGGUCGUCAACGCCGAAUCCUGCCAACGGCCGUACGGGAACAGUCGACGCGUCAGCGCCGUAGGCAGGAGCGGGGGAACCAAGGUAGGCGCCGCGCCCGGUAGUUGACCGGGAGCGGCUUGGGGUGAAGCCGAGCGCUCAGCGCGCACGGCCGGGCACUCACCCGCCCGAACCCGACAGCUCACCUCGCAGGCGUCGGUGAGGGGAUCU